GUGCUCAUUUUGGCAGCACAUAUACGAAAAUUGGAACAAUAUAGAGAGGAUUAGCAUGGCCUCCACACAAGGAUGACACGCAAAUUCGUGAAGUGUUCCAUAUUUUU
Molecule: small nuclear RNA, 107 nt
Filed under: Carlito syrichta (Philippine tarsier)
Lineage: Eukaryota; Metazoa; Chordata; Mammalia; Primates; Tarsiidae
Source: RNAcentral